UGGGAAAUAGGUGCAAAACCAAAGUUGGAAGAUCCACAAAGGACCUCCACACAUCUUCCAACUUUCCAAAUUGAUCUCCUUAAGACAAUAAUAGGCUAAUAUGAGGUUAGCUAGAGCUAUAAGCCAACCCUUGGCUAGAACAGUGGCCAGUCUAGCUAAGACGUGCCUUCACAACUUUGGCCAAUAAAGAAUAUAGAAGAUACUUGCAGAUCCUUUUAUAGUAGCCAAAGAAUGAAAAAGCAUGAUCAAUCAUAAAACUAACACAUGUAGAAAAUUU
RNAcentral lists this long non-coding RNA (277 nucleotides) under Elaeis guineensis (African oil palm). Its description in RNAcentral is "long non-coding RNA (EGUI_LNC009699)". The record is from RNAcentral. Lineage: Eukaryota; Viridiplantae; Streptophyta; Magnoliopsida; Arecales; Arecaceae.